AUCCCGCCUUUGGACAGGCGGAGAUCAAAGCCGGGGACCGCAAGGCCUGGCGCUUGGAGAGGGGCCCGCGCCGGAUUAGCUAGUUGGUGAGGUAACGGCCCACCAAGGCGACGAUCCGUAGCCGGCCUGAGAGGGCGGACGGCCACACUGGGACUGAGACACGGCCCAGACUCCUACGGGAGGCAGCAGUGGGGAAUUGUUCGCAAUGGGCGCAAGCCUGACGACGCAACGCCGCGUGGAGGACGAAGAUCUUCGGAUCGUAAACUCCUGUCGAGCGGGACGAAUGGCCCGGGACCUAACACGUCUCGGGAGUGACGGUACCGCUAAAGGAAGCCCCGGCUAACUYCGUGCCAGCAGCCGCGGUAAUACGGGGGGGGCCAGCGUUGUUCGGAAUUACUGGGCGUAAAGGGCGCGUAGGCGGCCUUCUAAGUCAGACGUGAAAUCCCUCGGCUCAACCGGGGAACUGCGUCUGAUACUGGAAGGCUUGAAUCCGGGAGAGG
RNAcentral lists this ribosomal RNA (500 nucleotides) under uncultured bacterium. Its description in RNAcentral is "bacterial SSU rRNA". It matches the Rfam family "Bacterial small subunit ribosomal RNA", at positions 173 to 657 of the family's 1533-position model. The record is from RNAcentral.